UAUUCUUUCAUUCGACGAUUCCAUCACAAAAUUGAAAACCCACUUUUCAGAUGCUUGAUGCAAUUUAAUGUUAGUUUAGGGUUAUUUUAGCAAAGUGUUGGUGGAAUUUGAUUGUGUUUGUUGCUGAAUAAUUGAGUUUUGGUCGGCGGGUUGACAUGGCCAUGCUGCCUGUUUGCUCAGCCACCUCAUGCUGGUCUUCCCUUUCUCAGGUUUACGUACACGGAGGGUUGCAUGCCAGUUCCCAAUUCCCGAAGGAUUUUGAGGCCAGGUGCAUUGCGGAAUGUAGGGGCUCCCUAAGCUUGUCAAAUGCAAUGCAUUUUCAAAGAGGUUCCUUUAAAGCACAUGCUACAAAGUCUUUGUAUCCGAGCUUCGUGAAAAGCGCAGAACAAUCCGUCUCCGUGGAUUUUGUUAACAGGAGUUCCUGUUCAAAUGAAUCAGACCAUCUAAAGUGCAAGUAUUCAGACAUGUGGAGUUCCUCUACUAAAACCAUUUAUGAACAGCACCCGCCGGGAAGGGUGGAACUGAAAUUUGUAGACACCUCUAGCCUAUUGGCUCCUGAUGAGGGACUCGUUGACUUUACUAAUCCGUCGACUGAAAAUGAAAGUAUCUUAUCGGCACCCAUAGAACCUGAAAGCAUAUCAGCUACUGAUUUAACACCAGGGAAUUCCACCUCUGUACCCGACUCCUUAGACAUGGAUAGUGAUAAAUUAUCCAGUAUGAAAACUAGCGUUGAGGGCUUCUUCGACGGGGUUAGCAAAUCUUUCAGUGCAUCAGUAGAUAAGGGAGAAGAUACUGUUAAAACCUCACUAGAUACAAUCACUGCAUCAAUAUCAUCUGUUGUUAAAAGUGCUACCGAAGCAGUGGAUAAUACUGUUGACGGAUUGUUUUCAACGGUGGAUCAAGCGGGACAAUAUGGGGGUAGUAAAAUGACAAAUUUUUCAAGCGACUUUAAGGAAGCCACAAGUAAAGGAGCUGUUUUUGCUAUUGAUGUCUUGAGACGUUCAAUUGCUGUGGUGGAGGAUACUCUAUCAAAUGGGGCUUCCUUUGCUGUUAGUUCUUACCAGUCUGCCAAGGACUUUCUUCCUCCUGACAUCAGUGAUGCGCUAAAUUUGUCUGAAAAGAGAGUUGCAGAGCUCUUGGGGCCUGCCAAAACUGCUUUUCAACAGGUUUAUAUUUCGAUUGAGGGGUUGGAGGAAAAUCUUGGGUUGGACCCUAAUGAUCCAAUCGUUCCAUUUGUUCUAUUUCUUGGCACCUCAGCCACUUUAUGGGUCAUUUAUCGGGUGUGGACAUAUAGUGGUUACGCCGGAGAUUUAUCUCCUCAGUCGACAUUGGAGCUCUUGACAGGGAAAGAGAAUGCUGUGCUCAUUGGUGUCCGACCUGAGGUUCUGAGAGAAAGAGAGGGUAUUCCAGAUCUUCGACGAGCAGCUCGCUUUCGCUAUGCAAGUGUGGCUCUACCUGAGGUUGAUGGCGCUGUAUGGAAAUUAGUGAAGAGAGGAAGGGAUCUUAAUGACACCUUAACUGCUGCUGUUAUUCGGAACUUGAAGAUUGUUCGGGACAGGUCCAAGGUCAUAGUUAUGGAAGCUGAUGGUACUCUUUCCAAAGGUAUUGCAAGAUCCUUGAGAAAGCUUGGGCUCAAGGCAAAAACCGUACUUGGUUCAAGGUGGCUUUCAAUCUUGGGUGAAAUAUGGUCUCCGUAUCAAGGAACUCAAACCUGAGACAACAUUUACCAUACUCAAUGAGGUAUUUAUCUCUUUGAAGCUGUUUGUUCUUGUAAGUUAUAACAGAUACAAGAGAUGAUAAUAUGCUGGUUGGUGAAUUUUUACGAAUGGCACCUAAUUCCCUUGAUAAUAACCGAUGCGAUUACUUUCUUUUCAACAACGUUGUUGGAUUGCAGUGGCUGAGGCUCUCUUGUAUAUGUAACGUGGACCCCUUUUUUUUUAGCUUUGUUGAAAAAGAAGAAAGUGAAUGAGAUAAAUAUGUUUGACAACCAGAAGAAUAGUCAUGACUGCAUUCAACACAGAUUAUUGCUGUUUUCCCCCUUUCUGCCACUUUUUUACAGAAUUGUAAACCAGAUUUGAGCUUUUCACUUGUGCACAAUUGCAAAAAUUGUAUCAUUUUAGGAUGCUGAGGCAAUUCUGGAGGAUAUCAGUCCUUCUCCGGUGCAAGUUCUUGGGUCUGGUGUGGGAUUGAUUGCAGCAUUGUAUGCACUACUAGAGUGGGAGAAGAAGUUACAACUGAUUGGUGUUGUUGGCGUUGGUCAG
Pyrus x bretschneideri (Chinese white pear) is the source of this 2261-nucleotide RNA transcript. RefSeq lists it as uncharacterized. The transcript has 10 exons. NCBI's taxonomy places the organism in Eukaryota, Viridiplantae, Streptophyta, Magnoliopsida, Rosales, Rosaceae. The record is from RefSeq and is a predicted model, not a curated record.